CCCCGGGGCUGCGCAACUCCGAGCGCCCGCUCGCUUUGAGAUUGCGCAAUGGGGCUGUGGUGUAUUUUGUUAUCAGGUCGCUAUCCCACAGCUCUGGGAUUCAGUACAAUAUACCAAAGGCAAUCUCUUCUGGGAGAAAUAAAGGCCUUCUCCUUUAUCUCUAAGCAGAGAGGUCGCAAGCAAGGAAGGGAAGGUAAUACUAGGCAUAUAUUCAACCCUGACUGCUCAUUGGAAGGAUUGAUAAUGAAGCUCAAGCUCGGAG
Molecule: non-coding RNA, 262 nt
Organism: Python bivittatus (Burmese python)
Lineage: Eukaryota; Metazoa; Chordata; Lepidosauria; Squamata; Pythonidae
Source: RefSeq, a predicted model, not a curated record